AAAGGAGGAGCAGCCCCUUCAAAAACGAGCUGUGUGCCUGGGCUGUGCCCCCACCACCGGGGCCAGCCCCACACUGGUGCCCCUGCCCUGGUGGGGCCAGGCUAGCUCAGCACGGCUGUCAGAUGAGUGGUCACCCGUGCACCUCCUUCCCUCCCCUUCGCAGCUGAAGGCAGAGUCCUGUGAGUGCCGUGGAGGAGCCAGGGCAGGGGCUGGAGAUCAAAGGACAGCAUCUCAGUGAAGACUCUGACAGCCUGAAGAGAGCCGCAGUGCAGCACUGCGUGUAUUUGACAAGCUGAGUUCGACACUCAGUUUGGCAGAGUGUCAGUUUGUCAAAUACCCCAAGUGAGGCACUUGCUGAGCAACACAGCUGCACACCGAGGGAACUGACUCCUUCUUUGACUUGGGCAGGAGCCUUUGCCUCCGUAUUCUGAUCCUGUACGUAAAUGUGAUGAGGUAUUGAGCAAGCUUGCUGAAUGCCUGACUGAUUCCAUGCUGUCAGGUUUCCUUUCCACCCCAGUUUCGGAAGUGCCUGUUGGGGUGUAAUCCUAACGGCAAACUGUUGCAGAAGUGGUGCUGGUACCAUUCCUCUGUGUUGAGAAAACAGCCAAGGACAAGACUGUUCUAUGUCACAGCACUGGUUAGCAAGCUGUUAAUAAAUAUGCUGUUUGGUUAAUAAAGGUUCUGGCAACUAUAAUCAUA
Molecule: long non-coding RNA, 699 nt
Organism: Oxyura jamaicensis (ruddy duck)
Lineage: Eukaryota; Metazoa; Chordata; Aves; Anseriformes; Anatidae
Exons: 3
Source: RefSeq, a predicted model, not a curated record